RNAcentral lists this ribosomal RNA (798 nucleotides) under uncultured bacterium. Its description in RNAcentral is "bacterial SSU rRNA". It matches the Rfam family "Bacterial small subunit ribosomal RNA", at positions 8 to 796 of the family's 1533-position model. The record is from RNAcentral.
AGAGUUUGAUCAUGGCUCAGAACGAACGCUGGCGGCGUGGAUAAGACAUGCAAGUCGAACGGGAGUUUGCUGGUAGCAAUAUUAGUGAUCUCUAGUGGCGAAAGGGUGCGUAACACGUAGCUACCUACCUCGAAGUUGGGGAUAGCUCGGCGAAAGCCGGAUUAAUACCGAAUGUGACCGUAAGGUCAAAGCUGGGGAUCGUAAGACCUGGCGCUAUGAGAUGGGGCUGCGGCCUAUCAGGUUGUUGGCGGGGUAAUGGCCCACCAAGCCUAAGACGGGUAGCUGGUCUGAGAGGACGACCAGCCACACUGGAACUGAGACACGGUCCAGACACCUACGGGUGGCAGCAGUCGAGGAUUUUUCUCAAUGGGGGAAACCCUGAUGGAGCGACGCCGCGUGAGGGAUGAAGGUCUUCGGAUUGUAAACCUCUGUCAUCUGGGAACAAUGUGAUCUACCUAACACGUGGAUUAUUGAUAGUACCGGAAGAGGAAGCAGUGGCUAACUCUGUGCCAGCAGCCGCGGUAAUACAGAGACUGCAAGCGUUGCUCGGAUUCAUUGGGCGUAAAGGGUGCGCAGGCGGCUCGUUAAGUCGGAUGUGAAUUCUCUCAGCCUAACUGUGAUAGGUCAUUCGAUACUGGCGGGCUAGAGGGCUGGAGAGGAGACUGGAAUAGUCGGUGUAGCGGUGAAAUGCGUAGAGAUCGACUAGAACACCGGUGGCGAAGGCGGCUCUCUGGACAUUUCCUAACGCUCAUGCACGAAAGCCAGGGGAGCAAACGGGAUUAGAUACGCCCGUAGUCC